Triticum dicoccoides is the source of this 705-nucleotide long non-coding RNA. RefSeq lists it as uncharacterized. The transcript is spliced from 3 exons. The record is from RefSeq and is a predicted model, not a curated record. Lineage: Eukaryota; Viridiplantae; Streptophyta; Magnoliopsida; Poales; Poaceae.
CAAACCGUCCGUCCCUAUCCACUUCUUCCCCUCGUUUCCUCUGCUCUGCUCUGCUUCGUUCCCAAGCGAAGCAAGGCAUCCUCCCCAUCGAUCGAUCGAUCGCUUCUCUCGCCGGCGACGCUGCAGCGAGCGCCUCUGUUCCUCUGUAAAUCUUUCCACUGACAGAGAAAGCAAGAAGAAAAUGGCCGACGCCGACGCCAUUCCGCAGGAUGUUGACUCUAGUGCUUAAUUUGGAUUAACACUAAACUGUUGCCGAUGAUUGGUUGUAGUGCAACCAAGAGUUCCAUGUACAGCAGCCAUUGAAAUGACCAGACAGUAAAGAGUGAAUUGAUGAAGAUAAGCUGCACGACGAGUGAGACACUUGGUCAGGUGAAAGUCAGCAUGCUUGGUGGAAGCCCUGCCAGUAAAUAACUGCAUAAGUUGCAUAGUAUAUGCUGAUGAUGAUGACAGCAACGAAAAACUAAGUAUGGCAGCUAAGAAGUUGAUGAUGAUGACGACAAAAACUCAAAAAGGGUGUGGUAAUUCUUUCUAUAUUGCUACUUACCCUGAUAUGUAAGUGGAGUAGCACUUAAUUAGUGGCUAGGCAAUGUAAUGAACAUGUAUGGGUGAGCAGAAGUAAGUACUCCGACUUCAGAUUUCAAUCUUCUGAAGUACUGGAUUUAAACUGGCAGCAUGCAACUAUCAUCUGGCCAGGCCAGCUGGUUA